AAGCGCAUCCGUCUUAUCUGAAACAAUUAAAUAUUCAAUUAAAAUCAAUCUCGAAACUCGGAAACGGAUGUUCUUUCAAUUAAUCGAAAAUUCUUAGCAACAGGUAGUUGCUAAGCGUGACCAUAGCAUCGUAAUUGAAGGAUGACAUACUUAUUAUAAAAUAAUUGAGUAAUGCGCGUACGUAUAUUUGAUGGAAUCAAAAUGGGACUUUAGAGACUGGAUACGAUCAUUUACGCACCGAAUAAAUGAUCUGGAAAUAAUUCAUCCUCCAAGCUGUCUUCGUCCUCGCUUGGGAAGAAAUACUCAUUCGGCGGCGAUGCCAUAUGAAUUAUGUUUUCGGCCUUGCAAUCAUUGAGUUAAGCGGAGCUACGUGAUCUCGCACUGUUUGAAACUGUAUUUCUUUGCGUCUGCUUUCAUUACACUGAUAGCGUUAUGUUAUUACACGUCAUUGUUCACAUUAAACAUUCGUCAAAGAAUUUUUCUUUUAAAAUAUCACUCAAAUCCGCACUAACGAGACAAGUUUUUACAUUCUUUAAAACUGUAAUUAAUUUUAAUUAUUAAAAACUCAAGAGAUAUA
Solenopsis invicta (red fire ant) is the source of this 577-nucleotide long non-coding RNA. RefSeq lists it as uncharacterized. The record is from RefSeq and is a predicted model, not a curated record. The transcript has 2 exons. Lineage: Eukaryota; Metazoa; Arthropoda; Insecta; Hymenoptera; Formicidae.